ACCUUUCCCGUGAGGGAAAGCUGAGCAUGCAGAAGUCAGCAGAUGUCAUAGUACUGAUCAGUCAGAUCAGGAAGGAC
This 77-nucleotide non-coding RNA is filed under the name Risungbinella massiliensis. The record is from RNAcentral. Lineage: Bacteria; Bacillati; Bacillota; Bacilli; Caryophanales; Thermoactinomycetaceae.